RNAcentral lists this ribosomal RNA (460 nucleotides) under uncultured bacterium. RNAcentral's name for it is "bacterial SSU rRNA". It matches the Rfam family "Bacterial small subunit ribosomal RNA", at positions 917 to 1382 of the family's 1533-position model. The record is from RNAcentral.
GCACCCGCACAAGCGGUGGAGCAUGCCGUUUAAUUCGACGCUACGCGAAGAACCUUACCUAGACUUGACAUCCCCGGCAAAGCUAUAGAAAUAUAGUGGAGGUUAUCCGGGUGACAGGUGAUGCAUGGUUGUCGUCAGCUCGUGUCGUGAGAUGUUUGGUUAAGUCCAAUAACGAGCGCAACCCUCGUCUUUAGUUGCUAACAUUAAGUUGAGAACUCUAAAGAUACUGCCAGAGCAAUCUGGAGGAAGAUGGGGAUGAUGUCAAAUCAUCAUGUCCCUUACGUCUAGGGCUACAGGCGUGCUACAAUGGCCGAUACAACGAGUCGCAACACAGUGAUGUGAAGCUAAUCUCUUAAAGUCGGUCCCAGUUCGGAUUGAAGUCUGCAACUCGACUUCAUGAAGUUGGAAUCGCUAGUAAUCCCAAAUCAGCAAUGUUGGGGUGAAUACGUUCCCGGGUGUU